GCUGGAACACUUGCUGCGGCUGCUGUUGCUGCUGCAGCUGCUGCUGUUGCUGCUGCAGCUGCUGCUGUUGCUGCUGUUGUCGC
Cinara cedri is the source of this 83-nucleotide non-coding RNA. NCBI's taxonomy places the organism in Eukaryota, Metazoa, Arthropoda, Insecta, Hemiptera, Aphididae. The record is from the annotation of a GenBank genome assembly.